GACUACCCGCUGAACUUAAGCAUAUCAAUAAGCGGAGGAAAAGAAACUAACCAGGAUUCCCCCAGUAACGGCGAGUGAAGAGGGAAUAGCCCAGCACCGAAGCCUGCGGUAGCUUUACUGCUAGGCAAUGUGGUGUUUGGGUUGGCUCGCGGGAUUGCCGCUCCACUCGAAGCCCAGCACUGAGUAUGGUUCCCUGGAUUUGGCCCAGAGAGGGUGAAAGGCCCGUGCGAGUGGAGGUUCAGACAUGUGAGGCAAUUCACCAGGCCGGCCUUCGAGUCGGGUUGUUUGGGAUUGCAGCCCAAAGUGGGUGGUAAACUCCAUCCAAGGCUAAAUACUAGCACGAGUCCGAUAGCGAACAAGUACCGUGAGGGAAAGUUGAAAAGUACUUUGAAGAGAGAGUAAACAGUACGUGAAACCGCAUAGAGGUAAACGGGUGGCGUCAAGCUGCAAGCCUAGAGGAUUCAGUCGGUCAGCAUGUGUGUGUGUUUGCGCGCGCCUGGCGCGUGUCAGCCGAGCUGGUGGUCCGCCACGAACAGGUGGGCCCCGCGCCUAUGCCCCCGUUAAACGGGGCUAGAGCGGGGAUCUGCGUGCCGGGCGGUAGCCGGAGCAGGCUGCCAGCUACAAGGGUUGGCUGGCCGAUGCACUUCCUCUAUUUGGUGAGCACCACGACUGGUGGAACUGCCGGUCUGCUGUAGCCGAGUCUCUGGCGUUGUGAGCAGUGUGCUGGUGGUGUGUGGGCUCUCUCUUGGGCCUGCAUUACCGGCAGUCGCGACUCGCAGUGCUGGGAUGUGACAGGCGAGAUCAGUGAGCGGCGUGUGUGGGCAGUCUUUGCCUGCCCGCAGGCGUGUUAUCGAGCACUGCUCGUGAACAGGGCGUUCUGUCGGUGUGUUCGCGGAUGUCCUCCGCGUGUGCAGUCGCCGGCAGAGUAAUGUCCUGGUGGGCUACGGUGGUAGGAAUAACUGUGCAGGGCACCAGAGUUGUCGGUCUCUAGUUCCAGUCCACGCGCACACUGCACGUGGUCGUAGAAGGUGGAGGCGUUGUGCAGUGGUCUGCUGGGGAUUUCGGGUCAGUUGCCGUGUCGCCUGCGCAAAGCAGGCCCGGUGAUGGCCUGGCCUCAGGCGGUGCCACGAGCAGGGCCUCUGGCGUGGACUGGCGAGGACCCAGUAGUCAGUGGUGUUGUGGUAGACGAGCUACCCGACCCGUCUUGAAACACGGACCAAGGAGUUUAUCAUGCACGCGAGUCAGCGGGUCGACGAAACCCUACGGCGCAGUGAAAGUGAAGUCUCUGUGUGUCUGUGUCUGCCUGCCUGCCUUCGGGUGGGCGGGCGCGCGCGCGCGCAGAGACGUGGUGAGAUGCUGCUGUUCCUCGCAUCCCUCCUGUGCCAUGUGUGCAGGUGUGCACAUCACCAGGCCUUUCGCAAGAAAGAAGCAGAGCAGCAGCCGCAUCACCGGCCCUUCCC
Molecule: ribosomal RNA, 1460 nt
Filed under: Cephalochlamys namaquensis
Lineage: Eukaryota; Metazoa; Platyhelminthes; Cestoda; Pseudophyllidea; Cephalochlamydidae
Description: partial 28S ribosomal RNA
Rfam family: Eukaryotic large subunit ribosomal RNA
Source: RNAcentral